AAUCUUACACUUCUAUUCAGCCACGUGGCAUCUCCUCAUUGCCUCUCAUUGCCCCUUCUUUUGCUCUAGAUCCAACGGUCUACAACAGUCCUCUAGAAAUCCAAAGGUGCUCGAAACAUACCCUUUCCCUUUUCCAAGAGGCGCUCAAUCUGCACCGUCCAUUUUGUUCAUCGGAUGGCUCCCUUCCCCCUCCCCUCCGCGCGUUCCUUGCACGUGCCUCCUCUGAUACCCGAAGCGCCGCUCUCUCUCUCUCUCUCUCUCUCACCACCUCUCUCUUUCUCUCCUCUCUCCCCUCUAUCCUCUCCUCUCUCCCCUCCUCCGAUGCCUGAGCUGUCCAUCGUUAGACAUCAUGAUUAGGUCUCCUACACCUACCCUACUUGGCCGAUCCAAUCGUUCAGGUUGCUACGCUUGCAGAUCCAAUGGUCGCUGUUACCUCCUCUCUCCCCCCGUCGCCGGUGCUACUCUUUACUAUCUUCUCUCUCUUCUCCGUCUUCCUCUGAGGGCUUUGCCAGCCCACUGAUUCGACAGCAACAAUAGGAUAGCUAAUUUUUUCUUGAUUUUUUGAAUAUACUGAGAGAGAUGGUGGAGGUUGCUUAAAGUCUUCCUCUUUUCUUCUCUUCUGACCUUCUAUAGCUUUUAUAUAAAUAGGCUAACCUUUUCAGAACAGUACAGAUUGUUUCUGAACACAAAUAUAAAGGUGGGAUAAAGGUAUUUUGAAGCAUAAAAGAUAAAAAUUGGCAUUUUAUUAUUACAUAGUUGUUAAUCUCCUACACACCGUCACUUUUCUACAGUCCCGCACACCAUAACUUUUCUACAGUCUGUUGUUUUUUAGGUGCCUAUAAAA
RNAcentral lists this long non-coding RNA (844 nucleotides) under Ananas comosus (pineapple). Its description in RNAcentral is "long non-coding RNA (ACOM_LNC020833)". The record is from RNAcentral. Lineage: Eukaryota; Viridiplantae; Streptophyta; Magnoliopsida; Poales; Bromeliaceae.